This 2225-nucleotide ribosomal RNA is filed under the name Diptilomiopus sp. GX40. RNAcentral's name for it is "partial small subunit ribosomal RNA". It matches the Rfam family "Eukaryotic small subunit ribosomal RNA". The record is from RNAcentral. Lineage: Eukaryota; Metazoa; Arthropoda; Arachnida; Trombidiformes; Diptilomiopidae.
UGUACAAGUUCAUGCCCCUUGUAACUGGGCGAAACCGCGAAUGGCUCAUUAAAACAGUCAUAAUCUAUUUGAUAAUCAAAGUUAUAUGGAUAACUGUGGUAAUUCUAGAGCUAAUACAUGCACAAAAUAGGCGACUGCAAGGCAACUUGCAGAAGCCUAGCGUUUAUUAGACUAAGACCAAUGACUGGGUGUCAAAGCCCAGUCUGCUUUAUGGUGACUCUGAAUAAAUAAUGGGUGAAAGCCCAUGAUGCUGACCCUCGCGACGGCCUCCGGGCUGAGGGCAAAUCAUUCGAGUGUCUGCUCUAUCAACUGUGGAUGGUAGGUUAUAUGCCUACCAUGGUGGUAACGGGUAACGGGGAGUUAGGGCUCGACUCCGGAGAACAAGCCUGAGAAACGGCUAGUAGGACUACGGUCUGCAGCAGGCGCGAAACUUACACAAUGGGAGCACAUCCCUGAUGUAGUGAAGGAAAAUAACGAUGUAUUUCUCAUUACUGAGUGAUACAAUUGGAAUGAGACGACUGUAAAUAUGUUAGUCGAGUAACAAAUGGAGGGCAAGUCUGGUGCCAGCAGCCGCGGUAAUUCCAGCUCCAUUAGCGUAUAUUAAAGUUGUUGCGGUUAAAAAGCUCGUAGUUGAAAUUAGCUUGGCCUUUCACCGCUCGUUUCCGUUUCAACGGCUGCUUGCGCACUUCUCGUGCCGAGUGUACGCCCAGGUUGCGUUGCGGACGCUUGGCCAAUGUUUCGUCACUUUAUAAGAGUGCGAAGCGGGGCGUUAUGAACAGUAGGCCGCUCGCGGUCGUUUUUAGCGCCAAGUUUACCUUGAGAAAAUUAGAGUGCUCACAGCAGGCAGUUUGGGCGUAAAAGUCCUUUAAUGCUUGAAUAAUGUUGCAUGGAAUAAUAGAAUACGGCCUCGGUUCUAUUCUGUUGGUCUUAUAGAACAACAAAAAAGUUGGUAUUUGCAAAGAAGCCGUUGCGGGUAGCUGGUCGGUGUGUGCGCGCUGGCGUCCUGCUUAUGUUGCCUGGAUGUAAAAGUUCAGCGCCGUGGCAGUGCCAGUUGCGUGGCCCCGAUCACUUUAAAGGCUGCUCGCAGCGGUUAGCAACUCGCCAACUGAGGCAAUGGUUAAAAGAAAUAGUCGCGGCGGCAUCAGUACUGCAUCGCUAGAGGUGAAAUUCUUAGACCGAUGCAAGACUAACUGAAGCGAAAGCGUUUGCCGAGGAUGUUUUCAUUAAUCAAGAACGAAAGUUAGAGGUUCGAAGGCGAUCAGAUACCGCCCUAGUUCUAACCAUAAACGUUGCCAACUAGCAAUUGGCCUGAAUUCUAUUUUAACAAAUUGAAUGAUUCGGCCAGCGGCUCUAGGGAAACCAAAGUCUUUGGGUUCCGGGGGAAGUAUGAUUGCAAAGUUGAAACUUAAAGGAAUUGACGGAAGGGCACCACCAGGAGUGGAGCCUGCGGCUUAAUUUGACUCAACACGGGGAAACUUACUAGAUUAGAACACAGGAAUGAUUGACAGAUUGAGAGCUCUUUCUUGAUUCUGUGAGUGGUGGUGCAUGGCCGUUCUUGAUUCGUAGAUUGAUUCGUCUGCUUAAUUGCGAUAACGAGUGAGACCUCCCUUUACUAACUAGUCGCUUGGUGCAUCUUUGACGCAAAAGUCUCGCAGCGUUGCGCGCGUUGCGCAGCAAUGUGUGGCGCGCGCUGGCGUUGUUGGGAUGUCUUUGACUCGCCGGCGGACUUCUUAGAGAGAUAAACGGUGUUUUAGCCGUAAGAAACGAGGCAAUAACAGGUCUGUGAUGCCCUUAGAUACUCUAGGCCGCACGCGUGCUACAAUGGUGUGCGCAGAAAGCUUAUUCGAUACUCGGCCAGAGAGAACUGCCAGUUUUGGUGCGCGUUUCGGCGUUGCGUCGGACUGGAAAGUGACUCUGGUUUACGGGUUGAGAGAAACCUUGGCCGAAAGGUCAGGGCAAUCAGAAAUUCAUGCCGUGAUUUGGGAUUGGGGAUUGCAAUUGUUGUCCAUGAACGAGGAAUUCCCAGUAAGCGCAAUUCAUCAUAUUGCGUUGAUUAAGUCCCUGCCCUUUGUACACACCGCCCGUCGCUACUACCGAUUGAAAGUUUUAGUGAGGCAUUUGGACCUGCCGCGCGCAGAGAGUUUCUCUGAGACUCUCGUGUGCAGCGGGGAAGUCUGUCGAACUCAAAUUUUUAGAGGAAGUAAAAGUCGUAACAAGGUUUCCGU